ACGGGAGGCAGCAGUAGGGAAUCUUCCACAAUGGACGAAAGUCUGAUGGAGCAACGCCGCGUGAGUGAAGAAGGGUUUCGGCUCGUAAAACUCUGUUGUUAAAGAAGAACAUAUCUGAGAGUAACUGUUCAGGUAUUGACGGUAUUUAACCAGAAAGCCACGGCUAACUACGUGCCAGCAGCCGCGGUAAUACGUAGGUGGCAAGCGUUGUCCGGAUUUAUUGGGCGUAAAGCGAGCGCAGGCGGUUUUUUAAGUCUGAUGUGAAAGCCUUCGGCUCAACCGAAGAAGUGCAUCGGAAACUGGGAAACUUGAGUGCAGAAGAGGACAGUGGAACUCCAUGUGUAGCGGUGAAAUGCGUAGAUAUAUGGAAGAACACCAGUGGCGAAGGCGGCUGUCUGGUCUGUAACUGACGCUGAGGCUCGAAAGUAUGGGUAGCAAACAGGAUUAGAUACCCUGGUAGUCCAUACCGUAAACGAUGAAUGCUAAGUGUUGGAGGGUUUCCGCCCUUCAGUGCUGCAGCUAACGCAUUAAGCAUUCCGCCUGGGGAGUACGGCCGCAAGGCUGAAACUCAAAGGAAUUGACGGGGGCCCGCACAAGCGGUGGAGCAUGUGGUUUAAUUCGAAGCUACGCGAAGAACCUUACCAGGUCUUGACAUACUAUGCAAAUCUAAGAGAUUAGACGUUCCCUUCGGGGACAUGGAUACAGGUGGUGCAUGCUUGUCGUCAGCUCGUGUCGUGAGAUGUUGGAUUAAGUCCCGCAACGAGCGCAACCCUUAUUAUCAGUUGCCAGCAUUAAGUUGGGCACUCUGGUGAGACUGCCGGUGACAAACUGGAGGAAGGUGGGGAUGACGUCAAAUCAUCAUGCCCCUUAUGACCUGGCCUACACACGUGCUACAAUGCAUGGUACAACGAGUUGCGAACUCGCGAGAGUAAGCUAAUCUCUUAAAGCCAUUCUCAGUUCGGAUUGUAGGCUGCAACUCGCCUACAUGAAGUCGGAAUCGCUAGUAAUCGCGGAUCAGCAUGCCGCGGUGAAUACGUUCCCGGGCCUUGUACACACCGCCCGUCACACCAUGAGAGUUUGUAACACCCAAAGUCGGUGGGGUAACCUCUUAGGAACCAGCCGCC
Molecule: ribosomal RNA, 1124 nt
Filed under: Lactiplantibacillus plantarum
Lineage: Bacteria; Bacillati; Bacillota; Bacilli; Lactobacillales; Lactobacillaceae
Description: bacterial SSU rRNA
Rfam family: Bacterial small subunit ribosomal RNA
Source: RNAcentral